UACGUAGGGAGCAAGCGUUAUCCGGAAUCACUGGGCGUAAAGCGUCUGUAGGUGGUUCGAAAAGUCCACUGUUAAAAAUUGAGGCUUAACUUCAAAGAUGCCGUGGAAACUUUCAAACUAGAGUAUGGUAGGGGUAGAGGGGAUUUCCAGUGGAGCGGUGAAAUGCGUAGAUAUUGGAAAGACCACCGAUGGCGAAGGCACUCUACUGGGCCAUUACUGACACUGAGAGACGAAAGCUAGGGGAGCAAAUGGG
RNAcentral lists this ribosomal RNA (253 nucleotides) under uncultured bacterium. Its description in RNAcentral is "partial 16S ribosomal RNA". It matches the Rfam family "Bacterial small subunit ribosomal RNA", at positions 524 to 776 of the family's 1533-position model. The record is from RNAcentral.